CAAAUCUUGCUAGGGUUCCAGUACGCCAACAUUAUCCUUCUCCCUCUGUAUUGAUUGUCCUCAAAAAAAUACUUCAUCCUUCUCCCUCCGAUCCUUGUCGCAUCUACCAACCAAGUAGGAGUAGUCGAUUGCCUUGAAAAUCGCAUUCGGAUCUUUCAGUAGUAGUAUUGAACUCGACAGUCGCAGUCAGAUCUAGCUCAAUCGGAGUGAGUCAUGAUCCAAAGUCAUGUAGGCACAGAACAUCAGCUCUUCUUCUCGUUUUUUCGAUGGCGGAAAACCCAAGGAGGCAAUUCUACAUAUGCCCUUUAUGGAAGGUAACUGGUCUGGUUUCGGAAUCUUACAUGUAAGUGGAAAUUGUAUGGUACUUUUGACCUGCUAAUGAAUUCAUUGUACACUUUACAACAAAGCCCAUUGCAGAUAUUUUGAAUGGGCCGAUGAAGCUGAUUCUUUUGCACAAACUCAAUCAACAUUCGAGAGUACAUUUCCAAAGACGACCAAGCUGAAAACAAAAGAAUGCCAGUACAAGGUCGGAAACGUUGCCCAACAAUUGGACACUGUCUCGAAGGAUUUGGGUACCAUUAAGCUCGAGUUGGUUGCAAUUUGGGAGGCUCAACAAGCAUUGGUGGUACAACUUCAAGAAGUUAAGUCCAAACUGUGUAGUUUUGAACAUGGGUUGUGGUUUGAUUUUGGUUUGUUGUUGGGUACCAGGGGUCUAUUCCUAACUUGUGUGUGUUGGUCCUUCAAUGUGUAGUGAGUCAAACGAAGUUUGGGUUGUAGUGUAAGUUUUUUCUAUUGUUAAUUGUUGUACUAUCCAUAUACGAUGGACACGACUGCUUCAUCUAGUUAGUUUACCACACAUCCAAACAUGUGAAGUACAAACAAUAGGAGACAUAGACCAAUAACUUCUUGGGAAUGCAUGUAGGCAUUAUUACAGACCACCUAUUAGGGAAGUUAAAAAUAUCCGACCAAAUCCCUUGGCUUCUUCAAAAUAACCUGAUACAUACCGGCAUUAAGGUCUACAUAACCCACAUAUGACAGUUUGACUACAUUACAGACCGACAUUUGCACAAAACACCAAGUCUAAUAUAACAGUUCACCUAGUUACAUAAGUACUAAAUCAAACAUCCAAAUACCUACUCAUCAGGCUGAGUAGUCGGUGGUUGGCUUGGUCGCUCUUCUACAACAUCUCGUGGACAUUAUUAGUCACCCCACAUGUAGUUCCCCUGUAGUAGGUGUUCCCAGUAGUUGGGCUGACAUAUGCACCAACUCCUCGCAUAGCCUGUCUAACUUCAAAAGCCUCCUGCUACCUUGAUGUUGGCUGGACUUGAUUAGCCUGUAUCCCUCCCAAUCGUAAACAUCUUCUUGUAUUAUGAUUAUCACCCCUGCAUAGUGAACACCUCUGUUUUGACAUGCCUAUCUGCACUGUUGGUUCGGUUUCAUUUACACCGGGAUGUGCUCUAGCAGCUCGUUGAUUUCGUGCCUGCCUUUGUGUUACUGGUAGUAUAGUCCUUGGAGCCGGCUAGGGUCUGCUUACGUCAGGCGAUGCUUACUCCUCAGCAUCAACAGGUACAUCAGGCUCGACCGAUGCCUAAAUAAGAUAGAAAAUAGCAUAUGUUAGGCUAGUAACAUUCAGUCUGUACAAGAUAACUUACAACAUAUCUUACAGAAUAUGAGAAGCAUCUUUUACCACUUUCGCCAGGGGUGGUUGAGGUGUAGUACACUUCCUUACAUUAUG
This 1735-nucleotide long non-coding RNA is filed under the name Linum usitatissimum (flax). Its description in RNAcentral is "long non-coding RNA (LUSI_LNC007602)". The record is from RNAcentral. Lineage: Eukaryota; Viridiplantae; Streptophyta; Magnoliopsida; Malpighiales; Linaceae.